UCUGCAAAACACAUCCCGUCGAUGUUACAUGUCCGGUCCUGGCCACCGGAGACGACCAGAGAGAGAGAGUGAAAAAAGAAAAAAAAGGUCUGACCUGGAUCAUGGACACUCAGAGCCAGAGGGACUCCACACUGGUGGCCGUGGUCGGGGCCGUAGCAGGGGAUAGAUGAGAAAACAUCAGAGCAUCAAGAUUUCUAUCUGCGGUCCAUCUAACCUCUGGACCUGCUGAGUGAUGGGAAUGCAGCCACGCAGGCCAAGUCACGCAGCUCUGCACAAUCUAUGGAG
This is a long non-coding RNA of Thunnus maccoyii (southern bluefin tuna), 285 nucleotides long. RefSeq lists it as uncharacterized. The record is from RefSeq and is a predicted model, not a curated record. The transcript is spliced from 4 exons. Lineage: Eukaryota; Metazoa; Chordata; Actinopteri; Scombriformes; Scombridae.